This is a non-coding RNA of Salvelinus sp. IW2-2015, 1330 nucleotides long. NCBI's taxonomy places the organism in Eukaryota, Metazoa, Chordata, Actinopteri, Salmoniformes, Salmonidae. The record is from RefSeq and is a predicted model, not a curated record.
GGGGGCGGUAAUGCAACAUAUUGGAUACGAACCGCGCUUAAACACCGAAGAUGGUGAUGAAGAAGAAGAACGGAAGCGCGAUUGUGCACGCAUCUCCGAUUUGAAACAUGGUUGGCAUUUAUCGACAUCGUUUGCCUAAAUAGAUCUCCUUACAAAUGUUGAAUUGGUCCAAUAUCAACAUUUGCCAUAGUGUGAGAACUGGAAAUAUACUGAUUAUUUAUUGCUCAUUGUCUAGCAAAAUUGUUUAAACAUAUUUACUUAAUCACGGCGAAUAAAUACUGGGCUGGACAGGAUGGCCAGCUACAAUUUUCAGGAGCAGUUUGUAUCCAUUAUGGAAGUAUUGGCUAAAGCAGCAGUAGCAGAAAUAAACAAACGUGUAGAUGAUAGUUGUGCUGUUAUACGUUUGGAAAUGACCCAAAGCCAGCGAGAUAUUGAUGUACUGAAAAGGAAGUGUCAAAUGAUGGAGAGCGAGCUGAAGAAGACGCGCAGACGAAAAGGUUUUUACCCCGUGGCAUCAGAGAGAUCUUCAUAUCCAGUCAAGAUUGUUUUGAACAAGCAGAGGAGUACCUCACAGUGGAGAGACAGCAAGAUGGCUGUUGAAGGGGACUCUCAACCCCUGGUGUGAUACAUCACCUUUUACAAUUACAGAGACCUGACAUCUUGGAUCAAUUCUGUUAUUGGAAUAUCAGGAGAAUUUACCACUUGUGUGAUUCAUGAGUAUGAAAAGGGUUAGAUAUGGUGUGUGUCCUGAGUAAUAACCUCCGUCCCUGUUACAGCCUACAGAUGUGGAGCAGAGAGUGGAGACUGAACCCAUACUGAUCAAAGAUGAGGAGACAGCAGAGGACGUGUGGAAGACUAACGCUCAGGAAGAGCUCAGGAUCACUGGAGAGGAGUCUGGUUCCAAGCCUGGGAAAUCACCAUCCUUUGAGCAACGGCACUGUGAUGAGGACUUCGUCACACAACCCAAUAUAUCUCCCAAAGACUCAGUAAAACAUUACCCCAAUUCUGAUCGUCCAGAGGAACCAGGAACACCCCGGCUCGCAUCUACAGAGGUAUUCAGCACAGAGCAGCACCGGCCAGACGAGGACUCGCUAGACCUAGUGAUGGUGAAAGAGGAGGAGCUGGAUCAGACCACAACCCUGGCAGGACCUGACCAGUUUGUCAUGGAUCAGUCUGAUGGGCAGCUGUGGACCUCUGUGGAUCCAGGCAGAGACACUGACCCUGAUGGACACCCAGAUUUCUCCUUUCAAUCCACAGAAGAGUACUCUCAGAAUAUCUCAAUUUUCCCAUCUCAUAGUGGGCUGUCAUCUGUUCCUACUAUGACAGAUGA